CAGAAUGCUGCAGACACUCUGGGCCCCUUUGUCUGCGUGGAACGGAUCUCUAGUCACAGUUAAAAGAAAACAGCAACAACAAGAAGAGAACAACAAUCACAAGGAACCAUGUCAUCCGUGGCAUCUUUAGGAGGAUGUGCAGCACUCUGAACAUGGUUCCAAGGACUUUAGUAGAUGUCUAUUGCGUUGUCAGCCUGACAGGAUCCAAACCUGAGGUCUCUGUCAUCAUUGCUCCAUGACACAUACACCCUUGGCAAGCAAUUAGAUGUCUAUGUUCCUUGAGGUUGAAGGAGAAAUGGACAAGAUCCAAGGCCAUAUUUUGGGGGAAGGAAAAGACUGAACCUCACUCAGCCUCACCCAGGUUAGUUCUCUUGGCUACUUCAAAAAACAAGGAGUGUGAGAGGAAUCCUGGGAACAUAGGAGUUAUGAGAACCUCUUCUCAGAAUGAAGAUUCCGGUUUGUUGCUUCUUUCUUGCCGGUCGAGUGGGAUGCAAUAAGUGGCACCGAGGAACCCGGGAACUUUAUACCAUCACACCAGUGCAAGGAAGAUCCCUUGUUCGCGGGGCGGAAUCAGAACUGCGGGAUGAAAGGCUCUGUAAGAGUGAAGACAACCCAUUUUGGCUGCCGGAUUGACUCACCCGCAGGAUAUUCAUCAAGGAUGGUGCAAAAAUGCUGACCUCCUGAGGACUGUUCCUGAUCCUGACAAUGCUGAACUUGUCUCAGGUUCCUAGUAUAAUGGGUGAAUAGAUAUGUGCUAUUCUCUUGACUUUCCCUAAACCAAUGUCAGUUCGCCAUGAUACUAUAGUUUUCCAAAUUUUCCAAAUUUCCAAAAUUCUUUACUA
RNAcentral lists this long non-coding RNA (842 nucleotides) under Mus musculus (house mouse). RNAcentral describes it as "predicted gene 29343". The record is from RNAcentral. Lineage: Eukaryota; Metazoa; Chordata; Mammalia; Rodentia; Muridae.